GAUACUGUAUUGUUGCAUUUCUCAUGCAGAGAUCAAAAGAUCAAGCUAUUCUCAUGCAGUUUCCAGCUCUUUACUAUCCAUUUUGUGAUCAUACAAAUAAACAUAAACUUUAAAACGCACAUUUGAAAUCAUCCAUCUUCAUCAAAGCAGGCCCUUGAGAUUCUGCCAAUGGGACAGACACUCAUGUUGCUCGUGUGCUAACUUUCUCACAGUAUCAAAGCAAGGUCUUUUUGAACGGGAAUGCACUGCAAAGAUAAAGCUCAGUACAACAGAUCGUGGGAACAAGAAGAAACAAAAAUAUAUCACAAGACCAAAAGCUGCCAGAAAGCUUUCCUCGCAGCACUCCCACAAAAUAUCUCAACUACUUCACAAAAUUUCUCAAAUACUCAACGAAUACACGACUUCUUGAAAAUGUUAUGUGAAUUAGGUUGCAACUUUUACUUUUUUUAACAUGGUGAAACAGCGAAAUUGAAGUUGAUGUAACAAUAUCAUCUGUUGACAACUGACACACUGAAAAGGUGGUACAUUUGCAAUGCGAUUCAAUCAUGGCAAAGCAUUUAUAUUUAAGGCAUUUAGCAGAUGCUUUUAUCCAGAGUGACUUAAAAAGUGCUUUAGCUUCAUAAAGGAAAGAAAUACGUGAAAAGCCAGUGCAGGGUCAAGAGUUUUUACAUCAAUUCGAGAUCUUCAGUUACGAUCAUCAUUUUAAUAACCAAAAUAACAAUUACAUAAUGUAGCAUGUUCUUGCUUUACAAAUGAUGCAAUGCACAACUUGUACCUGCUUAAAAUGGACCAAAAUUUGCAUCUAAUCACCGAGUAACUCAACCACAUAUUAAGGCUUUGAUAUAAUGUGGGAAAAACUAGACGAUGCUUACAUUUAGCAAUACCGCAGUGAGUUAAGGCUCAAAGGUGGCCCAUCUGUUAAUGAUAGCAGUAAAACGAGCAAACGUUACAUUCAUUCGUCAACGGUCUCAAAAAUAAAAGCUGGGUGGAGCUGGAAAGGACAAAAAGUAGCUCUGGUAAAACUGAAAUCUUUUUCACAAAGACAUGAGUAUUUACAAUGACGAAGGUAAAAAGGUGAACAAAAGUGAAACAUUAAAUAUAUUCCUGGUUCUUCUGCUCAAUCUAAUGAAUUAAAAGACUUUACAGACACCCUGUAGUAAAUAUGAAAAGCACAGAUGCUGCAGCAAAACUCAGUGAUGUUUUCAUGAGAUAUCAUUCAACAACACGGCCUAGCGUUCACCUAGCCACAGCUAACCUAUCACAAACAACCUAACUGCAAUCCCGCUGGUUAGUACCAGGAAAUGAAUCAUUUGUAUACUUUGAUCUGCAGGAAAUGAUAGCUGUUCACAGUAAAUAAGAAGCGCUUCCUUGUUUUCUGUUGUUCAGCAUGUUCAGCUGCACCAACUCAAUUUACGAUUUAUUUGGUAACUCUUGAGAGAAUCCUGAAAAUGGUUGAAAACUAAAGCUCACCAAUGACAGGAGGGUCUAAGAUGAACUCACAAACUAGUGGAGAAAGCACUUAUCAAAAGGGACCCCCAUUUGCUCUUUUUUUUUUUUUGCAAAGCAUACAAAAGUCUAUUUACACACACUUUAACUCACUUCCUUUCACAAUUAUCGAAACUCAUUUUUAUAAGUCAGUAUAUUCUGAA
Molecule: long non-coding RNA, 1649 nt
Organism: Sinocyclocheilus rhinocerous
Lineage: Eukaryota; Metazoa; Chordata; Actinopteri; Cypriniformes; Cyprinidae
Exons: 2
Source: RefSeq, a predicted model, not a curated record